GUGCCAGCCGCCGCGGUAAUACGGAAGGUCCGGGCGUUAUCCGGAUUUAUUGGGUUUAAAGGGAGCGCAGGCUGCCGCUUAAGCGUGACGUGAAAUGUAGGCGCUCAACGUCUGAGUUGCGUCGCGAACUGGGCGGCUUGAGUAUGUUCGACGCCGGCGGAAUUCGUGGUGUAGCGGUGAAAUGCUUAGAUAUCACGAAGAACUCCGAUUGCGAAGGCAGCCGGCGAGGCCAUUACUGACGCUAAAGCUCGAAGGUGCGGGUAUCGAACAGGAUUAGAUACCCUGGUAGUCCGCACGGUAAACGAUGGAUGCCCGCUGUUGGCGAUACAGUGUCAGCGGCCAAGCGAAAGCGUUAAGCAUCCCACCUGGGGAGUACGCCGGCAACGGUGAAACUCAAAGGAAUUGACGGGGGCCCGCACAAGCGGAGGAACAUGUGGUUUAAUUCGAUGAUACGCGAGGAACCUUACCCGGGCUUGAACUGCAGCAGAACGAAUCAGAGAUGAUGAGGCCCUUCGGGGCUGCUGUGGAGGUGCUGCAUGGUUGUCGUCAGCUCGUGCCGUGAGGUGUCGGCUUAAGUGCCAUAACGAGCGCAACCCCUCUCGCCAGUUGCCAUCAGUCCGGCUGGGCACUCUGGGGACACUGCCACCGUAAGGUGUGAGGAAGGUGGGGAUGACGUCAAAUCAGCACGGCCCUUACGUCCGGGGCUACACACGUGUUACAAUGGGUGAUACAGAGAGUCAGCGCCGGCAACGUCGCCUCAAUCAAGAAAGUCAUCCUCAGUUCGGAUUGGGUCUGCAACCCGACCCCAUGAAAGCUGGAUUCGCUAGUAAUCGCGCAUCAGCCAUGGCGCGGUGAAUACGUUCCCGGGCCUUGUACACACCGCCCGU
This 887-nucleotide ribosomal RNA is filed under the name uncultured bacterium. Its description in RNAcentral is "bacterial SSU rRNA". It matches the Rfam family "Bacterial small subunit ribosomal RNA", at positions 505 to 1397 of the family's 1533-position model. The record is from RNAcentral.